AGCAGCCAAUCAUGGCGGGACUCGACCUCUGCCGCCGCCAUUUUGUGGCGCGGCCCGGGCCGGGGGGCAGGAACAGGGCAGUGCCCGAUCGCUGUUGGGGGCACAAAGACCCGACUGGGGGACAUUGAUGGGAUUGGGAACGGCUCAGAUCCGAGUAGGAGGUGGACACCAGCAGCU
Molecule: long non-coding RNA, 177 nt
Organism: Chiroxiphia lanceolata (lance-tailed manakin)
Lineage: Eukaryota; Metazoa; Chordata; Aves; Passeriformes; Pipridae
Exons: 3
Source: RefSeq, a predicted model, not a curated record